This 371-nucleotide long non-coding RNA is filed under the name Ananas comosus (pineapple). RNAcentral's name for it is "long non-coding RNA (ACOM_LNC039092)". The record is from RNAcentral. Lineage: Eukaryota; Viridiplantae; Streptophyta; Magnoliopsida; Poales; Bromeliaceae.
AUUUAUCUAUAAAUUUUUGGGUAAUCAAUAUUUUUAUUCAUAUCCGCCCAAUUCUUUUUCUUUUUUUACUUCUAUACUUCCAAAUGCAAAACACAUGUAUAAAUUUUUUAAAAAUAUAACAUAACUUUCUGUUUGAAAUAUCAUAACAUAUAAUAAACAAUAUAAAAUUUUUAAAAUAUAUACAUUACAUAAUAUAAAAAUAUUUUACCAUUCCAAAUUUUAUAAUAUAAAAUUAAUAAAAUUAUUAUUAUUAUUAUAGAGUCAAUAUUAUAAAAAUUACAUAUUUUUUAAUCUAAAAAAUAUAUAAACAGAUACCUAUGGAUAUCCGUGGGUUGUCCAAAAAUACCCACCACUCAACGAAUACCUAUUUU